AGGGCUGUAGCUCAGUUGUAGAGCAUCUGUUUUGCAUACAGAAGGUCCCAAGUUUGAUAUCUGACAACUCCG
This is a non-coding RNA of Podarcis lilfordi (Lilford's wall lizard), 72 nucleotides long. Lineage: Eukaryota; Metazoa; Chordata; Lepidosauria; Squamata; Lacertidae. The record is from the annotation of a GenBank genome assembly.